Molecule: ribosomal RNA, 504 nt
Filed under: uncultured bacterium
Lineage: Bacteria
Description: bacterial SSU rRNA
Rfam family: Bacterial small subunit ribosomal RNA
Source: RNAcentral
UGGGGAAUCUUGGACAAUGGGGGCAACCCUGAUCCAGCCAUGCCGCGUGAGUGAUGAAGGCCUUAGGGUCGUAAAGCUCUUUCGCCUGUGAAGAUAAUGACGGUAGCAGGUAAAGAAACCCCGGCUAACUCCGUGCCAGCAGCCGCGGUAAUACGGAGGGGGUUAGCGUUGUUCGGAAUUACUGGGCGUAAAGCGCACGUAGGCGGACCAGAAAGUUGGGGGUGAAAUCCCGGGGGCUCAACCCCGGAACUGCCUCCAAAACUAUUGGUCUAGAGUUCGAGAGAGGUGAGUGGAAUUCCAAGUGUAGAGGUGAAAUUCGUAGAUAUUUGGAGGAACACCAGUGGCGAAGGCGGCUCACUGGCUCGAUACUGACGCUGAGGUGCGAAAGUGUGGGGAGCAAACAGGAUUAGAUACCCUGGUAGUCCACACCGUAAAACGAUGAAUGCCAGUCGUCGGGUAGCAUGCUAUUCGGUGACACACCUAACGGAUUAAGCAUUCCGGCCU